Long non-coding RNA from Mandrillus leucophaeus (drill), 256 nucleotides. RefSeq lists it as uncharacterized. NCBI's taxonomy places the organism in Eukaryota, Metazoa, Chordata, Mammalia, Primates, Cercopithecidae. The transcript is spliced from 2 exons. The record is from RefSeq and is a predicted model, not a curated record.
UAUUUCCUAGGAUUUAUUCCCCCUGUGAACAGAUGUGUUGUAUUACAUAACAUUGCUUGAGCAUUCUUGACAGAGUCCUGGCUGUCAAUUUAUCAGUGGCAACUGUUUACUGGUUGAAAAUGGGAAGCAAUAAUAUUCAUCUGCCCAGUUUUCUCUUAAAGCUAUUUCCAUGAUGAUGAUGAUGAGACUAAAUUAUAUUUUUUAUUUCAAUCACUCCUGAUAAAUAACAAAUUUGGAGAAGUAAAAAUAUCUUAAA